AAAGCCCAGUUGUCACCAUACACUGGAGGAAAUCUUUGGCAGCAUUUCAAUGCUUUACUGUGCCAAAAACGUGCCUUUGGAAGACAGAAAUAAUUAGAAGUGUGGGGAUUCAUUGUGAGAUGCCUGCCACAGGUGUAAUGUGUAUUCUGGCUCAGAGGGAUUCAGCCUCUUAAUUUCCAAUGUGGAAAGUGGAGACGGCAUGCGGAAGAUGUGCUGGGAAGCUGAAAAGAACAUUCCAGCCACCUGGCACACUUGGUAUAAAAGAUUGAUGAGAUACAUGAAGAUACAUAAGUUAAACCCAGGAGAAAGGCAUUCACUGCUGGUGCAAAUGAAGGACAACGUGGGACCCAACUAUCUGAGCCGGGCCUCCUUGGGCAGAGCCCCGCUGUCCCUAGGUGAGUGAGGGGUUCAGGCCUUCGACAGAAGAUGCUGUGUUGAACACCGAGGGCCCUGGUGGGUUAAGAACCUCAGUCACCGUUGCGAAGAAGCUUCUGCGCUGACAGCUGUGCCCGCAUGGCCACAUCAGGCUCCGUGAUGUUCCCAGUGUUUUGAUGCCAUUUUCCUGAACUGCCUUUAUAAUGGAUGAUGCAUCUUUACAUGCCCAGUGUGAGUUACUCAGAUCCAAAGCCAUUCUGGAAACAGUCUGUCUGACAGCCUUUUUAUUGGCAAAGAAGCUAUUUAAAUGAGAAACCUGUGCAAGAGAUGAACUAGCUGCCCCAUGCGAUGGCAAACGGAAGCUGAUGAAUUCUGCUUGGGCAAACAGAAGCCAACAGGUCUUAAAAGAGCAACAAAUGUAUUCUUGCAUGCCGCUGGUAAACACAGUGUUUGGACCCAGCUCUGUCUGUGCCACUGCUGCAUAUUUCUGAUGGGCUCUCUGCUGAAGCGUGAUGGAGUUCGAAGGCGCGGAGGAAAAGACGCUCUGAUUUGUGCUGGAUGGCCCAAAGAGAGACCCGCCAGGACUGCUCACCCGUUCCUGCAGCUUUCUUCUCUUAUGCUCAGAUCCAACUUGCUACAGAUUUCUCAAAGGCAGAAGUCUCACUGAAAUUAAGAUGAGUUUAAAUUAUCUUCAUGUCUACUAAAGAGUCCUGCAUUUAAAAUAUUAUAAUAUUUAUAGCAAGAUUUUAUUGAAAAUGCAGGAAAAAAAGCUGCUUUCAUCUUUAUCUUGUUGUGUAUUAUUGAUGAGGCAAGCGUACAGCACUAGGGCAGUUCCUGGAGGCUGAGCUCACGCUCAUCACAAGGGCACGGCUCCUGCACAGGGCCUGACAAAUGGCACUGCUCACUUCUGUUUGACAUUCAAUUCCUUCAGUUGCUAAAGUGAUUUCUGACAUACCUCAGCUCCUGGCAUUCCCAGAGCUGGUUUGGAUUACAGGCCCCCAGAAACAGGUGUACAGAUGCACUCAUCUCUCAUAAAUCUUGCUUGUUUGGGGUAUUUCUGGGGACUCUUCACUCUGGCAUUGCUGAAGGUGGACUCUCUCAUGCUUUGCCUAUUAUCUUUUUAUUUUACUUUCUUCCUAGUUUUUUUUUUCCUAAUAGAAACUUUAGGUAGCUUAUCCUUUACCAUAGAGAGUAGAAUUUCUCUCUUCUGCUAUCCUCUGGACUGCACCACUCUUCACUCCCUUAUUCUUGGAGUUAGAUUACAAAAUGCAAAUAUGCCAGACAGGAACUUUCCUAUUCUCCGAGACCUUCUCUGCCUCUAGGUCCAUUGUAUUCCUUAAAUAGCACAGCUUUUCCUGCAUGAGCAGGUUUUUCUGAAAUUAAGAGCCUUUUUGAGAGUGCUGCAACACUUUAUUAAUCAUAUAUCAUAAGGAGUAUUUAUCGUACACACAGCUUAGCAAACUCAUUUUUCAGCUUGCUGUUGGCUUUUCCUAAAGCCCGCACAUGGUAUGUCGGUAGUGAGGCCGUGGGUCCACUAGUGGGGUUUGCUCUCAGUUACUGCCUCACUCUUCCUCUUCCCCCUUUAAUCAGCUUUAGGAUUAGGAGUAUUACAAGGCAGCAACAGAGUAUGUCUUGUCUGUCUGGACUUUUUUUUUACUGAAAAUGGUAAAACUGUUUUUCUAAAGAAAAGAAAAAGGUGUGCAAGUACACCAAAUGCAUGCAUUCCUUUUGCAGACGCAUACUAUCUAGUGAAUAUCUGCCUUAUAAAUACAUAGUAACAAUCAGUUUUCAGAUUUAACUUACACAGUAAGUAACAGAAAAUGAAGCUCUUCCUCAUUAUUGGCCUCGUGCCUAUAUUUGUGUUAUCCAGUUGGCUGUAGUUAACCAUAGUCGUAGGUUAGAUGCUGCCCCAGAAAUGAGACACAUACAAUAUACAAAAUUUCUAUGGGAUCGAAGAGUUUGUAUGCUAAAAUUUCUCCUCUACAGCCUGAACUCUUUAUUCAAUCUACAGCUAGGAUAGGAAGUUUUAUCAUUUGGGAUUCCCUGAGGAUGCAGUCUGGGGAGUCUAACCCGUAGAAGAUGGAGCAGACAGAAGGCAGCCGAACUGUGAUUUCCAUGAGGCAUUUUGGAGUCUAAAUAUUUCCCUUUUCAGGCUGUAGAUCUUACAAUAAAAAAGAAAGUAUGUUUUGCAGAAACUCUUUCUAUGGUAAAACAGUAUUCACUUGAAAAUCCAAUUCGUCAUUGAAAGAAUCUUGACAUAAAAAGUUUUAAUUAGUCUUGUGAGGAAUUUUGCAGGAGAUUGUUCACUAAGUCCUGGGCCAGCAAAGUCAUUUGGGUCUUUCAUUUGACUUGAGUGGGAGUUCAAGCAAAUCCUCUGUAACAAAAAUAGCUGGAAUCAAUACUUGGACUUCAUCUCACAGAAUGGAAAGUGUGAUAAUGAGUUAACUGCUAUUUUGGCUUCUGAUAUGCUCUCUACAUUACCAGAACUGAUGAAGCAUUUUAUGGGAGAAGAGAGAAAAAAAACAACAAAUUAGGGAGUAUUCCCCUAGGGUGAUGAGUACAUGCAGUGUGAUAAAAUACUAUUAUCAAUCUCAGCUGGAGGCAAAUAAUGGAUUCACAGUAGAAAAAAACAUGCAAAGAUACCCCAGCCACUUGGAAAAAAUGUCCUAAACAUAAAAGCAAAAAGUUACAAAUGUUACAUAAGGGCUUGUGUCUAAUGGCCCAAAAUAUGGCCUACUAUUGAACAGUUUUGCAUGCAAUUACUUUACUAUAUUAAAAAAAGCAAUUAAAAUGAAAAUAUUUACAGUAUUUAACAGAUUGCUUAUUUACAUGCAUGUAAUUGUAUUUUGCUUCCCUAGAUGCUCUCAGCUGGCUGUAAUGUUUUCCAUUUUCCAUACGUAUUGCUGUCCCGUAGCUGUUUGCUGUUACCCAUGGGUGCGCGGGGAGAGGGAUUCCUGCACCGCCUUGCGUGGAGCAUCACCACGGUCCUGCCGAGCGCGAGGUCCCAGCUCGCUUUAUUGGCACAAAGGGAACGAAACUGCCUCCUGCCUGGUAAUUCAGCACACCAGGAAUAAGUCUCCUAUCAGAAUGAACAUUCACCUCAUGAGUACCACAAGCCUCUGGAGCCAAAGCCAUUUCGCUGUGGUUAUACCCAAGCACGUACAACCAGGAGAGUGGGGAUGUGCUGGAGAUGCAUUACGUACAAACCGGCUGUGUUUAUUUCUGGAGAGCAGGCGACUGCAGGAAGACUGGCCAUAAGAUGAGGUUUCUGGGAUGCUGUGAUAGUUUUUGGCUGAGCAUGUAUAAUUAAUUUAAUCUUAAAUCAAUUUACAAUAUAAAUAAUGAAGCACCUGUUAAUGGGCUUUUGGCUGGUCAAGUGUCAAGCCAGAUUGCACAACACAGAAAGAAUCAAGAGGAACAACUUGCCUGGUUACAUAACUUUUUGUAGAACAUAAAUAAAUUAUUCCCUCUUACUGGCAACUGUUUUAUACUGUUCUAAGAUUUCUGAAGUUAACUUCCUUGUAAUUUAACAUAUGCCAGCAGUUUAAAAGCAGUCUCAUCCGCUUAAGAAAAAGCACCUAAUUUAUGCACUGCUUUUAACUUUUAAUAAAAGAGCAUGCUUGUGAACUCUGAAAAAGAGAAAUAGUUGAGAAUUAAAUUUAUGUUUUCUACCAACUUUGGAGAUUAACAGCUACUAAGAGAAGGCUAGCAGGAGUUAACUGCGUCUGCAAAACGCUGAGAGUCCUGCAGUACUGCUUGGAGCUUUUUAUGUAAUUGUAUGAACUGUUUUCCCUUAUAAAGGCACUGGAUAAGCUCUUUCUUCACUCUCAUUAAAAUAUCACCACGUAUUUUCAUCUGAAUUUCCCAUACUGCCUGGGAAUUUUGAUGCAUUUCUGCUCUGGAAUGAGGCUACUAAUAAUACUGCUAUGUGCUCUGGCUGUUGUGCCUCUGCACUGAAUUAUGUAUUUCCUAAUUGCUGAGACAAUGUGGAGAGUUUUAGCACUGUUGCAUCCAUUAAAAUCAACCACGACUAUACUGGUAAAGCUCUCCAUAAUACUUUCAAAAUUGUAAUUUGCUCAUGAGUCUUGCUAACAAGUUUUCUCUAGCCCAAGAAUAUGAAUGAAACCAAGAACAUCUGUUCAGCAAAUAGAUUUAUCUCCUUUAUUCCCCUUCUCUGCCUUUAUUUCCGUGAUGUACUCAUCACCAUGUUCCACCUUUGAAACAGACUGAGGACUUCACUAGGAGAAAAAGCUGGCAAAUUUAGGGACUGCGAUUUUUUGCUAGCCAAACCGCUGGUGGCAUGCGCUUUGUGACUCCAGCCUGUUAGCCCCCAACCAAGGUUCUCACGUGACAGCCCACAGGAGGAGCGGCCAGGCUGAAAUAAACCUCAUGUUUUGAUCUCCAGAAUGGUGUUACAACCUGCCCAGGCUUAGGAGGUUUGGUGCAGUUUCUCACAUGCAAGGAGGGGUCUCGGAGAACACCUCUGCCAACCUUUUUAUUGGAAGAGCUACAGCUCUAGGAGAUAAAGGAUUUCACAGGCCCCAAGCAGCCUGUGCCGGAGACCAGAACUGGCCUGCAGACCAGUUCUGAAAAGCAAUAUUCAGCUAUUUCAGUGCUUACCUUUCAUGUAGAUUUGUGCUUGAGUUUUAAAGGGUGUGGACUAGUUCAGCAUUAAUUGGACUAGCCAGAGAGCACAAGUGCUGGAUGCUGUGGUGUCUUUGGGCUGCGCCUGUGGUACUUCCAGGCAGGCAGGCAUUUUUUUUGUUUCAAUGUACAUCUGAUGCAGCCUGCUCUUGCAUUAACUGUAUAGCGCAUCCUAAGUGAGAUUUUCAAAGCUAAAGGUUUCUCUACCCAGUUCCCACUGGAAAAUUCCUUCCUUUCUGCACUGUGGUUGGCAUCUUGGCUGCAUUCAAAGCGAUAGUUACCAUUGCCAUUUACAGAUUUCCCUAAAUCUAACACAGAAAAAAUUGUUUUUGAUUCCUCCUCAGAAAGAAGCUGCUUCUGUUAAAUGUAAUGCUAUUAAAACAAACAAACAAAGCGCAAAAAAUUCCUAUGUUAUUUCACAACAGGGAAUAUUGUCUUCUGCAUUAUUAAAAUUCCAAUUCAGUGGGUUUUUUUAAGCAAAUACAGUAUUUUUCUAAUGAUAGAAUUUACAACAGGACUAAACAAGGCUGUCCAGAAAGUAAGUUUACCUCUGAGUAUCCACAAACAGCUCAGUUAAAUAGUGCUGCUACUGACUUUUCCUUCUCAUUUCUAAAUACAGGCAAGCAUCUUAUAAUGAAUGUCUCUGUGCCCAGUCAUCGCAUAGUUGCAGCAUCAGGAAAAGAAUAGGGAGCUUUUACCAUUUUCCUGGAUGGCUGAGAAGCAAUUUCAAGCAACAGGGAAGUUCUGACCUGGUAGCGUUCAUCACUUUGUUUCUAGUAGAGAAAUUAGUCAUGAUGUUAAAGAGAUUGGACUGCACCAUAUAAAUGGUCAAGUUUCAGGAUGCCUCUCUGAAUCAAACUCAUUAUUGACAACUGAUGGGGAGAGAUGGGACCCACCUCACUAAGCGG
Dromaius novaehollandiae (emu) is the source of this 5927-nucleotide long non-coding RNA. RefSeq lists it as uncharacterized. The record is from RefSeq and is a predicted model, not a curated record. NCBI's taxonomy places the organism in Eukaryota, Metazoa, Chordata, Aves, Casuariiformes, Dromaiidae. The transcript is spliced from 11 exons.